RNAcentral lists this ribosomal RNA (25 nucleotides) under uncultured Paraglomus. RNAcentral's name for it is "partial 28S ribosomal RNA". Lineage: Eukaryota; Fungi; Glomeromycota; Glomeromycetes; Paraglomerales; Paraglomeraceae. The record is from RNAcentral.
GGGCCUCAAAUCAGACAAGAAUACC